RNAcentral lists this ribosomal RNA (253 nucleotides) under uncultured bacterium. RNAcentral's name for it is "partial 16S ribosomal RNA". It matches the Rfam family "Bacterial small subunit ribosomal RNA", at positions 524 to 776 of the family's 1533-position model. The record is from RNAcentral.
UACAGAGGUCUCAAGCGUUAUUCGGAUUCAUUGGGCGUAAAGGGUGCGUAGGCGGCGCGGUAAGUCGGGUGUGAAAUCUCGGAGCUUAACUCCGAAACUGCAUUCGAUACUGCCGUGCUUGAGGACUGGAGAGGAGACUGGAAUUUACGGUGUAGCGGUGAAAUGCGUAGAGAUGUGGAGGAACACCAGUGGCGAAGGCGACUUUUUGGCCUGUAACUGACGCUGAGGCGCGAAAGCGUGGGGAGCAAACAGG